CAGCAGCCGCGGUAAUACGAAGGGGGCUAGCGUUGUUCGGAAUUACUGGGCGUAAAGGGCGCGUAGGCGGCCAUUCAAGUUAGAUGUGAAAGCCCUGGGCUCAACCUAGGAAUUGCAUUUGAUACUGUUUGGCUUGAGUUCGGGAGAGGUGAGUGGAAUUCCCAGUGUAGAGGUGAAAUUCGUAGAUAUUGGGAAGAACACCAGUGGCGAAGGCGGCUCACUGGACCGACACUGACGCUGAGGCGCGAAAGCGUGGGGAGCAAACAGGAUUAGAUACCCGGGUAGUCCCUGUCUCUUAUAC
This 301-nucleotide ribosomal RNA is filed under the name uncultured bacterium. Its description in RNAcentral is "partial 16S ribosomal RNA". It matches the Rfam family "Bacterial small subunit ribosomal RNA", at positions 509 to 807 of the family's 1533-position model. The record is from RNAcentral.